This 253-nucleotide ribosomal RNA is filed under the name uncultured Akkermansia sp. Its description in RNAcentral is "partial 16S ribosomal RNA". It matches the Rfam family "Bacterial small subunit ribosomal RNA", at positions 524 to 776 of the family's 1533-position model. The record is from RNAcentral. Lineage: Bacteria; Pseudomonadati; Verrucomicrobiota; Verrucomicrobiia; Verrucomicrobiales; Akkermansiaceae.
UACAGAGGUCUCAAGCGUUGUUCGGAAUCACUGGGCGUAAAGCGUGCGUAGGCUGUUUCGUAAGUCGUGUGUGAAAGGCGCGGGCUCAACCCGCGGACGGCACAUGAUACUGCGAGACUAGAGUAAUGGAGGGGGAACCGGAAUUCCUAGUGUAGCGGUGAAAUGCGUAGAUAUUAGGAGGAACACCGGUGGCGAAGGCGGCUUUCUGGACUGAAACUGACGCUGAGGUACGAAAGCGUGGGGAGCAAACAGG